Molecule: ribosomal RNA, 372 nt
Filed under: uncultured organism
Description: bacterial SSU rRNA
Rfam family: Bacterial small subunit ribosomal RNA
Source: RNAcentral
CAGGGGGUGCAAACGUUGCUCGGAAUUAUUGGGCGUAAAGCGCGCGUAGGCGGCUACUUAAGUCGGAUGUGAAAGCCCUUGGCUCAACUGAGGAAGUGCACCCGAAACUGAGUAGCUGGAGUACGAAAGAGGGUCGCGGAAUUCCCGGUGUAGAGGUGAAAUUCGUAGAUAUCGGGAGGAACACCGGUGGCGAAGGCGGCGACCUGGGUCGAUACUGACGCUGAGGCGCGAAAGCGUGGGGAGCAAACAGGAUUAGAUACCCUGGUAGUCCACGCCGUAAACGAUGAGUGCUAGAUGUUUCUGGUAUUGACCCCGGAGGCGUCGUAGCUAACGCGUUAAGCACUCCGCCUGGGGAGUACGGCCGCAAGGCUA